GCCAAAGAGAAAUACGCAAGAAGGGCCACCUUGGAGGAAACUUGCUGGAGAGCUUCUUUCUCCUCCCGGCUGGACCUCAUCCUUAUCCUCUCUCUCUCUCUCUCCCACCCCCCCUCCUCUUGCCAUUCCCCACCCCUCCCUUGCUGCAGCUGGGGGUGGGACGGAAUAGCCUUCCCUCUGCCCUUUCCUCGAUCCAACAGGCUCCCUUCUCUUUCCAGCCCAGAGCGCUUUAAAAAGCUCUUCCUCUUGUGCCGGAGCCACUCGGGUCAGGAGGGAGCGGGUCGCAUCCUGCCUUGCUUUGCCUUGCCAGAGGAGGAGAGAGGAGUAGAAGAGGGGCAGGGUUUAACCCGUCGGCUGCCAGGGCCCUCUCCUGAAAGCAGCUGCCCUCUCCCUCGCCUCCUGCCCGACUGCACAGGACACCUCCCUCCACACACACACACAAACACGCACACACCUCAGAACAGAAAACCCCACACCGUAACUGCUGCCUGGCGCCUGAGAAGGAGAAACCACCUCUGCCUCGUUUCAGCCGGGAUCUCAGAAGAAGAAAACAAGAGAAAGCGGCUCAAAAGCAGUCAAGCAACCCAAUGAAAAGAAGACUUGAAGUGACUGGUCUUUAUCAUUCCUGGCCUUCUUUUGAGGCAGAUCUUUUCUUGGAUAAGAGCUGGAAAAAUACAACUGCUACCACUUUUGUAAUGAGAAACAACCCCCCCUCACUCUUGUGGUGCCUUCUGCCCUGCAGCUCCCCUUUCUUCCUUCUUCUGUCUAGUGAGAACUGUGACAAACCCAGACCUACUGGGAUCUGCCACACAUUUACACUAAGCUGCCACCAACCAUUCCCUGUAAGAAGUCACACAGACCAGGGAUGGAUUUUUAAACAAUAAAAAGAAUAAGGUUUAUUUAAAUACA
RNAcentral lists this long non-coding RNA (909 nucleotides) under Pogona vitticeps (central bearded dragon). Its description in RNAcentral is "lncRNA (ENSPVIG00000002253.1)". The record is from RNAcentral. Lineage: Eukaryota; Metazoa; Chordata; Lepidosauria; Squamata; Agamidae.